This 349-nucleotide ribosomal RNA is filed under the name uncultured bacterium. RNAcentral describes it as "bacterial SSU rRNA". It matches the Rfam family "Bacterial small subunit ribosomal RNA", at positions 917 to 1267 of the family's 1533-position model. The record is from RNAcentral.
GGGCCCGCACAAGCGGUGGAGUAUGUGGUUUAAUUCGAUGCAACGCGAAGAACCUUACCAGGGUUUGACAUCCUGCGAAUCUCUUGGAAACGAGAGAGUGCCUUCGGGAGCGCAGUGACAGGUGGUGCAUGGCUGUCGUCAGCUCGUGUCGUGAGAUGUUGGGUUAAGUCCCGCAACGAGCGCAACCCACGUCUUUAGUUGCCAGCAUUUAGUUGGGCACUCUAGCGAGACCGCCGGUGAUAAACCGGAGGAAGGUGUGGAUGACGUCAAAUCAUCACGGCCCUUACGUCCUGGGCUACACACGUGCUACAAUGGUACAGACAGAGGGCAGCCACCUGGCGACAGGGAG